UUCUUUUAGUUUAUAUUAAAGGUAUUUUCUGCCCAAUGAUUAUUUAAAUGGCUGCAGUAUAUUGACUGUACAAAGGUAGCAUAAUAAUUAGUCUUUUAAUUGAGGACUAGAAUGAAAGGAUAUAUGAAAAAUUAAUUUUAUUUAUUUUAUUAUUAAAAUUUUAUUUUUUGGUAAAAAAGCCAAAUUAAUUUUUAGGGACGAGAAGACCCUAUAGAACUUUAAAUUAGUUUUAAUUAAUUUUUUUUAGUAAAUUAAAAUUUUUAAUUAUUUUUAAUUUUUAAUUGGGGUGAUUAAUAAAUUUAAUAGGCUUUAUUUAUUUACUUCAUUAAUUAAUGUUUAAAUGAUCCUAAUUAAGGAUAAUAAGAUAAGUUACCUUAGGGAUAACAGCGUAAUUUUAAUUGAAAGUUCUUAUUAAGAUUAAAGUUUGCGACCUCGAUGUUGAAUUAAGAUAAAUUAUAGGUGCAGAAGCUUAAGAAUUAAGUCUGUUCGACUUUUAAAAUCUUACA
Molecule: ribosomal RNA, 506 nt
Filed under: Sapingia adspersa
Lineage: Eukaryota; Metazoa; Arthropoda; Insecta; Hemiptera; Cicadellidae
Description: partial large subunit ribosomal RNA
Rfam family: Archaeal large subunit ribosomal RNA (bases 380-506)
Source: RNAcentral